GAUGAACGCUAGCGGCAGGCUUAACACAUGCAAGUCGAGGGGUAGAAGUCUUCGGACUUUGAGACCGGCGCACGGGUGCGUAACGCGUAUGCAAUCUACCUUUUACAGAGGGAUAGCCCAGAGAAAUUUGGAUUAAUACCUCAUAGUAUAAUGACCUGGCAUCAGGAUGUUAUUAAAGUCACAACGGUAAAAGAUGAGCA
Molecule: ribosomal RNA, 200 nt
Filed under: uncultured bacterium
Lineage: Bacteria
Description: partial 16S ribosomal RNA
Rfam family: Bacterial small subunit ribosomal RNA
Source: RNAcentral